UACGUAGGGCGCAAGCGUUGUCCGGAAUUAUUGGGCGUAAAGAGCUCGUAGGCGGCCUGUUGCGUCCGCUGUGAAAUCCCGGGGCUCAACCCCCGGGCCUGCAGUGGAUACGGGCUGGCUGGAGGCAGGCAGGGGGAGAACGGAAUUCCUGGUGUAGCGGUGAAAUGCGCAGAUAUCAGGAGGAACACCGGUGGCGAAGGCGGUUCUCUGGGCCUGUUCUGACGCUGAGGAGCGAAAGCGUGGGGAGCGAACAGG
RNAcentral lists this ribosomal RNA (255 nucleotides) under uncultured bacterium. RNAcentral describes it as "partial 16S ribosomal RNA". It matches the Rfam family "Bacterial small subunit ribosomal RNA", at positions 524 to 776 of the family's 1533-position model. The record is from RNAcentral.